RNAcentral lists this ribosomal RNA (253 nucleotides) under uncultured bacterium. Its description in RNAcentral is "partial 16S ribosomal RNA". It matches the Rfam family "Bacterial small subunit ribosomal RNA", at positions 524 to 776 of the family's 1533-position model. The record is from RNAcentral.
UACGGAGGAUGCAAGCGUUAUCCGGAAUGAUUGGGCGUAAAGCGUCCGUAGGUGGUCUUUCAAGUCUGCUGUCAAAGCGCGGGGCUUAACUCCGUAAUGGCGGUGGAAACUGAAAGGCUAGAGUGCGGUAGGGGUAGAGGGAAUUCCCGGUGUAGCGGUGAAAUGCGUAGAGAUCGGGAAGAACACCAGUGGCGAAAGCGCUCUACUGGACCGCAACUGACACUGAUGGACGAAAGCUAGGGGAGCGAAUGGG